RNAcentral lists this long non-coding RNA (290 nucleotides) under Elaeis guineensis (African oil palm). Its description in RNAcentral is "long non-coding RNA (EGUI_LNC036904)". Lineage: Eukaryota; Viridiplantae; Streptophyta; Magnoliopsida; Arecales; Arecaceae. The record is from RNAcentral.
GGCUUCGUCCAUCAAAUUGAGAAGAGGUUAUAUCAAAAUUUUUCUCCAAUUGUAAAUUAGCAUAAGUUAGUCUAGGAUAAUAAUUCUUUAUCCUAGGUUAUCUAUAUCUUAUGUAAUUCAAUUAAUUUCUCCCUCAGAGUCUUCAGAAUAAUAUCUUUCUUCAUCUUGAGAUAUGCACAAUUCCUCAGAAGACUCAGCAAAUAAAUAAUUUAUCAUGUCUUUAAGAUUGAGAGCAUUCAUUUUAGCAUUAAUUUGAUUAAUAAAUUCAUCAUAAAAAGUUGGUCCUAAUU